RNAcentral lists this transfer RNA (69 nucleotides) under Marmota monax (woodchuck). Its description in RNAcentral is "tRNA.Ala". Lineage: Eukaryota; Metazoa; Chordata; Mammalia; Rodentia; Sciuridae. The record is from RNAcentral.
GGAUUGUGGGCUCAGUGGCAGAGCGCUUGCCUAGCAUGCAUGAGGCACUUGGUUCAAUCCUCAGCACCA